Molecule: ribosomal RNA, 3225 nt
Filed under: Phacus hamelii
Lineage: Eukaryota; Euglenozoa; Euglenophyceae; Euglenales; Phacaceae
Description: partial large subunit ribosomal RNA
Rfam family: Eukaryotic large subunit ribosomal RNA
Source: RNAcentral
UUUAAGCAUAUCACUCAGUGGAGGAAUCCCAAGCAACCGCGAUUGCUGCAGUAACGGCGAGUGAACUGGCAAGGCAUUCAUGGCUCAACCCGAAGGAGGCCGAUGUGUCCCACCCUCCCGCCUCCGCCUCGGCGGGGAGCGGCCGGCUGCUUGUAUGGUCUCGCGCAAGGCUGUGGGUUCUGGAGCGGAUGGCAAGUCUGUGGGCGGGCCGCGGUGCCUGGAAUGGCCCUGGAAUGGCUGACGAUGGAGGGCUACCGUCCCGUACACCCGGCAGAGCGCGCCGCGGCCUCCCAUGGCCUGCCGUCCGUAUCCCCGAGUAGAGCGGCUUGGGACUGCAGUUUGAAGCGCGGGGUGUAUCCCCCGCAAGGAGCAAUACCACCGUGGGACCGAUAGCGCACAAGUAGAGUGAUUGAAGGAUGCAAAGAACUUUGCAAAGAGGGUUCAAAGUCCCUGAAGCCUUGGCAGGAACGGCGGUGUGCGGGGCCGUGGACCCUUCUGUUUCCACAGAGCUGUGUGCGUCCCAAGCGGCCUCGGGCCGGCCCGGUGUGAGCCAUUGAGCCCUCUCCUCCGGGAGGGGAUGCAAUCGUGGUGACACCGCGGUGGCAGUCAAGCCUGCCAGGGCCCGGGGCUAUGUCGAACCGUGUGAACGCUUCCGAUGCUGUGCAACGCCUCCUGGCGCGUCUUCGGGCGGGCCAGUCACCGUCACCCAGUCACGGUCUGGGGCCGGCACGGGCCGGGGUCUGCAUCCCCCCGCGGGAUGGACCUCGGCCCGCCGCCGCGCGCCCCCCGGAUGGUGUGCGGUGCAGUCCAAGGCAGCCGAGCUUGGUGACAGCGGCACCGCGCUCUGCCCGUCUUGAAACACGGACCAAGGAGUCUAUGGAGCCUGCGGGCCGGCCGGUGUUAGCAUGGCAACCCGGUCUGAGGCCACGGUGAAAGCAACCCGGCCCCGAUGUGCAAGCUGCCAGGGCCACCGGCCCCAACGUCCAGUGGACUGGGUUUUGAGUGCGUGCAAGGUCCAUGGGACCCGAAAGGUGGUGAACUAUACCGUUCCACGGCGAAGCCAUGGGAAACCGUGGUGGAGGCCGGUCGCUGUUCUGACGUGCAAAUUGUGUAGCCUGAGCGCGGCAUGGGGGUGAAAGGCCAAUCGAGCCACCUAGUAGCUGGUUUCCCUCGAAGUUUCCCUCAGGAUAGCUGGGCCCGGAGUGCAAACCCGGCCGAGUGGUUACGUCCGGUAAAGCAACGCAUGAGAGGCAUCCGCUGGGGGCCCGUGCCCCUAGACCUAUUCUCGAACUGUGAAUGGGCGUGGCAAACCCAAACCGAAAGGCGUGCUCCUUCACCCCGUGCCGGAGUCCGGGGGUGUCCCCUCCGGGGCCCCUCGGUCCUCCUCGGCCUUCUGAGCGUGUUCGUGGCGGCCCCGAAGGUCUGUGCAACGCGGCCCCGGAGGCCCGGGGAGUGGAUGUGUGUGUGUGACGAGGGGGGGAGUUGUGUCCCCUCGGGGUGGACCUCUGAGUCGCCCCACGUUGCGCAUGUCCCUCCCGGUGGCCCUCCCGCCGUCCCCCCCCGCGGGGGGCGGUCCAAGCCCGGUGAAGCUUCAUGUGACCCGAUUGGAUUCGUGCGCGCGCACACGCUGCCGCCGUGGUGAACAAAGCGGGCCUAUGUGGGCCAAGAUUGGUAAGCAGUGCUGGCGAUGCGGGGUGCUCCGAGAGUGGACUUCCAGAUCCCGAGUGCUGGCUCAUACUCAGAUCCCACAAAGGAUGUCGUCUGCUACGGAUAGCAGGACGGUGGCCAUGAAGGUUGGAACCCGCUAAGGAAUGUGUAACAACUCACCUGCCGAAGUGCGCGGCCCCGAAAAUGGAUGGUGCCCAAGCCAGUGAAGCCGAACUUGCCUCACAGUCCGCCGCCGCUGUGGCAGCAUUGAGCAGAGCAUCGUUGUGUAGAAAGGACGCGGGGGCCCGCUGCGCCCGCCGGGGGUGAACCCCGGCCGGAGCGGCUUCCGGCGCAGAUCUUGGUUGUAGUAGCGAGUACUCCAUCUGACGAGGGGCGGAAAGCCCGCCGCGCGUGGUUGAGGACUGGAGUGGAGAAGGUUUCCGCACCAAACAGCCGUUGAAUGCGGGUCAACCGACCGUGAGCCAAGUGGUAAAGUCACCGGACAACCAAAGCCGCCGUUCCCGCCGUAGCUCCGAGGGGGUUGUGACCCCGGCGCGGUCCCGAGUCCCGGCCCCGACCGCCCGGCCCCUUGGAGGCGGCACGUCCCUGGCGGGAGUGGCGAACAGGCAAGCGCGUUGCAACAUCCCGCUGUGUUGGGCCCGGGGCCCCCGUGAUACCUCUCCCGAACGGUGGUGACGCCGAGUGACCAGAGCAAGCAGGCCGCGGGGCGGUGCACCCCCCGGGGAGUUCUCGUUUCCUCCUGAUGCAGACCCAUGUGGGCUAGCAAACCCGGCGUGCCAGAUGGUGACCUACGCCCCCCGUCCAGCAAGGCGGUGCACCUCGUGUGCGCUGGUGGGCCCUUCCCGGUGGAACAUGUGUCAGAGCCGCAAGGCGGACGCCCCCAGGCGCUCCCCCCGAGGUUCAACUCUCCCAGACCCCGGACUCCGGUGGUCACCGGCUCCACUGAACAGCCUGCGGGGACCCCGUGCCCCUGGUCCCUUGAUGUCGUACCGAAUCACCGCAKCCGGUCUCUCCGGCUUGACGCCGCUGGUCGAACGGAUCGAAUGCAGCUAAGGGAAGUCGGCAAACUGGGCACGUACCUUCGGAAGAUGUGUUGGCUCCAGAGGCCAAGGUGCCGGGCCUCGCCCACGGACGGCUGCUCUCGGUGGGGGGCCCGGCCGCCUCCCCGCCCAGCCUCGGCUGGGACCCGGGAGGCGGGCGGCCCCUGCCGGGCGCCGGCCCGUGGGGAGGGGUCCUCCGGGGCCCGCCCCGGUGCCUAUCGGAUGGCCACCAUGGAACUGUUGCUGUGCAGGGGAAUCUGACUGUUUAAUUGAAACCCAGCUUUGUGACGGGACCGGCUGGCCGGUCCCAUGAGGUGACUUCUGCCCAGUGCUCUGAUUGUCAUGGCGAAGAGAUCCAGCCAAGCGCGGGUAAACGGCGGGAGUAACUAUGACUCUCUUAAGGUAGCCAAAUGCCUCGUCAACCAAUUAUUGACGCGCGUGAAUGGAUCAACGAGAUUCCUGCUGUCCCUAGGUGCUGUCCGGUGAACCAACAGCCAAGGGAACGGGCUUGGAUGUG